GAUGAACGCUAGCGGCAGGCCUAACACAUGCAAGUCGAGGGAGAAGCCCUUCGGGGCAGAAACCGGCGCACGGGUGCGUAACGCGUAUGCAACCUACCUUUCACAGGGGGAUAGCCCGAAGAAAUUUGGAUUAAUACCCCAUAAUAUUAUUGGAUGGCAUCAUUUGAUAAUUAAAAUUACGAUGGUGAAAGAUGGGCAUGCGUCCUAUUAGCUAGUUGGAGUGGUAACGGCACCCCAAGGCUACGAUAGGUAGGGGUCCUGAGAGGGAGAUCCCCCACACUGGUACUGAGACAGGGACCAGACUCCUACGGGAGGCAGCAGUGAGGAAUAUUGGUCAAUGGUCGGAAGACUGAACCAGCCAUGCCGCGUGCAGGAAGAAUGCCUUAUGGGUUGUAAACUGCUUUUAUAUGGGAAGAAUAAGGAGUACGCGUACUUUGAUGACGGUACCAUAUGAAUAAGCAUCGGCA
This 467-nucleotide ribosomal RNA is filed under the name Capnocytophaga granulosa. RNAcentral's name for it is "bacterial SSU rRNA". It matches the Rfam family "Bacterial small subunit ribosomal RNA", at positions 28 to 498 of the family's 1533-position model. The record is from RNAcentral. Lineage: Bacteria; Pseudomonadati; Bacteroidota; Flavobacteriia; Flavobacteriales; Flavobacteriaceae.